Molecule: long non-coding RNA, 118 nt
Organism: Hibiscus syriacus
Lineage: Eukaryota; Viridiplantae; Streptophyta; Magnoliopsida; Malvales; Malvaceae
Exons: 3
Source: RefSeq, a predicted model, not a curated record
AAUAAAUAUAUAAAAUGAUAAUGGAACUUGCUCUUCUUUUUGGUUCUGUGAAGGAUAUGUGCUCAAGUGACUUGAUGUAAUAUCAUAGAUGAUGAAAUUUCUGCUUUUGCUUGAGUAA